Non-coding RNA from Xyrichtys novacula (pearly razorfish), 297 nucleotides. The record is from the annotation of a GenBank genome assembly. NCBI's taxonomy places the organism in Eukaryota, Metazoa, Chordata, Actinopteri, Labriformes, Labridae.
AUAAAGAAAUGAUCAUAAAUGUUCUUCCUUGGGCUGCGAAACUCCGCUGUAGUCCGUAAUGGACUGGCCUGAGGUCUCGCUACAAACAAGCGGCUGCUGGAAGAGAGUAGGUGAGUUGUGUUUAGUCUCUUUGCUAAAGAAAUGAGUCAAAGUUAAAAAGAUGUUUGGUGUCUAGUACUAUGUCUGUGACCCUAUAUGUCCUGUUGAUGAAGUUAGGUGCUGUUCUGAGCAUUAUUUGUGGCUAUAGAGUGGCGUUUUGGUUGAGGUUUGUUUAUGGCUCCUCAGACCGCUCUGUAU